CCUACGGGAGGCAGCAGCAAGGAAUCUUGGGCAAUGGGCGAAAGCCUGACCCAGCGACGCCGCGUGAGGGAUGAAGGCCUUCGGGUCGUAAACCUCUUUUAUCGGGGAAGAAGUUCUGACGGUACCCGAUGAAUAAGCCACGGCUAACUACGUGCCAGCAGCCGCGGUAAU
This 171-nucleotide ribosomal RNA is filed under the name uncultured bacterium. Its description in RNAcentral is "partial 16S ribosomal RNA". It matches the Rfam family "Bacterial small subunit ribosomal RNA", at positions 338 to 524 of the family's 1533-position model. The record is from RNAcentral.